GUAAACUGUCCUUUCAUCUUAUUUUAGUUUAGAAUUGAACUAUCUGUUGGGACAAGGAGACUGCAAUAUAAGAAUGUCAAGCAAUAAAAUUUCUUCUUUUCACUGUUCAGUUCGCCAUGUCUAAAUCAAAGAGGCUUCGAACUUGCCCUUAAAAACCCUUAACAAGUUUAUAACGCGUUGUAAGGCGCAUGAUAAUGCCGGGUGUCCGUCCGACCAUUCAUCCGUCAACAUCGGUCCGUCCGUCAAUCCGCCCGUCUGGUCUUGAUACCGCUCUCACAUGAUAAAAUUGAGAAAGGAAAUGGGGAAUAUGUCAAAGCGACAACAACCCGACCACAGACCAAACAACAGUCGAAAGGCCACCAAUGGGUCUUUAAUGUAGCGAGACUUCCUGCACCUGUAGGUGUCCUUCAGCUGGCCCCUAAAAUAUGUUUACUAGCACAGUGAUAAUGGACGUGAUACCAAACUCUGAAUUAUACACAAGAAACUAAAAUUAGAAAUCAUACAAGACUAACAAAGGCCAGAGGCUCCUGACUUGGGAAAGGCGCAAAACUGCGGUGGGAUUAAACGUGUUUAUGAGAUCUCAACCCUCCCCCUAUACCUAUAGCCAAUGUAGAAAGUAAACGCAUAACAAUACGCACAUUAAAGUUCAGUUCAACAAGCAUGCGUUUUAAAACCAAUAUAAUACAAUACUUAGUCAAAUGAUAGUGUUUAAAAAUGCAAUUUGUGUAUGUCUUAUUAUUAUUGCUUAUUCUAUAGGUUAAUUUCGUUCAUGUGAGUUAAAAAAUCG
This 787-nucleotide long non-coding RNA is filed under the name Mytilus galloprovincialis (Mediterranean mussel). Lineage: Eukaryota; Metazoa; Mollusca; Bivalvia; Mytilida; Mytilidae. The record is from RNAcentral.